Molecule: long non-coding RNA, 211 nt
Organism: Spinacia oleracea (spinach)
Lineage: Eukaryota; Viridiplantae; Streptophyta; Magnoliopsida; Caryophyllales; Amaranthaceae
Exons: 3
Source: RefSeq, a predicted model, not a curated record
UUAACAACUGCAUUAAGGCUUCUAUUUUGCUGUUGACACCAGCAUUUGCAAGGCUUAUUUUGCGACUUAAUCUUCAGCCUCCUGAAUUUGUUACUGCUAGCCUCUUGCUUGUAGCCUUGUAGGGGAUAAGAAAAGGUAGAGUUCCCCAAAAACCAUUCGCAAAAUAAUCGAUUUCUUUGCCUGGAAGUCUACGAUUACUCAUUGGCACCAA